CCUACGGGUGGCAGCAGUGGGGGAUAUUGCACAAUGGGGGGAACCCUGAUGCAGCGACGCCGCGUGGGUGAAGGAGCGUUUCGGCGCGUAAAGCCCUAUCGGCAGGGAAGAAGGAGGACGGUACCUGACUAAGAAGCCCCGGCUAACUACGUGCCAGCAGCCGCGGUAAUACGUAGGGGGCAAGCGUUAUCCGGAUUUACUGGGUGUAAAGGGGGCGCAGACGGCAGCGCAAGCCAGGAGUGAAAGCCCGGGGCCCAACCCCGGGACUGCUCUUGGAACUGCGCGGCUGGAGUGCAGGAGGGGCAGGCGGAAUUCCUGGUGUAGCGGUGAAAUGCUUAGAUAUGACGAAGAACCCCGAUUGCGAAGGCAGCUUGCUGCAGCGGAACUGACGCUGAUGCUCGAAAGCGCGGGUAUCGAACAGGAUUAGAUACCCCUGUAGUC
This 441-nucleotide ribosomal RNA is filed under the name uncultured bacterium. RNAcentral's name for it is "partial 16S ribosomal RNA". It matches the Rfam family "Bacterial small subunit ribosomal RNA", at positions 338 to 795 of the family's 1533-position model. The record is from RNAcentral.